This 460-nucleotide ribosomal RNA is filed under the name uncultured bacterium. RNAcentral's name for it is "partial 16S ribosomal RNA". It matches the Rfam family "Bacterial small subunit ribosomal RNA", at positions 338 to 795 of the family's 1533-position model. The record is from RNAcentral.
CCUACGGGAGGCAGCAGUGAGGAAUAUUGGUCAAUGGGCGCGAGCCUGAACCAGCCAAGUAGCGUGAAGGAUGACUGCCCUACGGGUUGUAAACUUCUUUUAUAAAGGAAUAAAGUGAGGCACGUGUGCCUGUUUGGAUGUACUGUAUGAAUAAGGAUCGGCUAACUCCGUGCCAGCAGCCGCGGUAAUACGGAGGAUCCGAGCGUUAUCCGGAUUUAUUGGGUUUAAAGGGAGCGUAGAUGGGUUGUUAAGUCAGUUGUGAAAGUUUGCGGCUCCACCGUAAAAUUGCAAUUGAUACUGGCAGCCUUGAGUCCAGUUGCGGUAGGCGGAAUUCGUGGUGUAGCGGUGAACUGCUUAGAUAUCCCGAAGAACUCCGAUUGCGAAGGCAGCCUCCUACACUGCCUCUGACAUUGAUGCUCGAAAGUGUGGGUAUCAAACAGGAUUAGCUACCCUGGUAGUC